RNAcentral lists this ribosomal RNA (506 nucleotides) under uncultured bacterium. RNAcentral's name for it is "bacterial SSU rRNA". It matches the Rfam family "Bacterial small subunit ribosomal RNA", at positions 28 to 530 of the family's 1533-position model. The record is from RNAcentral.
GACGAACGCUGGCGGCGUGCCUAAUACAUGCAAGUCGAGCGGGGAUUAUGCUUGAUCGCUUCGGUGAGACGGCAUAUAUCCUAGCGGCGGACGGGUGAGUAACGCGUGGGUAAUCUACCUCGUAGUUCGGGAUAACAGGCCGAAAGGCUUGCUAAUACCGGAUGAGUUCAUGCUUAUGCAUAUAGGCAUGAAGAAAGGGCUAGCCCGCUAUGAGAUGAGCCCGCGUCCCAUUAGCUUGUUGGUGGGGUAACGGCCUACCAAGGCAACGAUGGGUAGCCGGCCUGAGAGGGUGUACGGCCACACUGGGACUGAGACACGGCCCAGACUCCUACGGGGGGCAGCAGUAGGGAAUUUUCGGCAAUGGGCGAAAGCCUGACCGAGCGACGCCGCGUGAGGGACGAAGGCCUUCGGGUUGUAAACCGUCUGUCUGGGGGAGUGAGAACGGACGGUACCCCGGAGGAAGCCCCGGCUAACUACGUGCCAGCAGCCGCGGUAAAGUCACGUCG